Molecule: non-coding RNA, 72 nt
Organism: Trichonephila inaurata madagascariensis
Lineage: Eukaryota; Metazoa; Arthropoda; Arachnida; Araneae; Nephilidae
Source: the annotation of a GenBank genome assembly
GUUCCUGUAGCACAAUGGAUAGUGCAUUGGGAUUCUAGUUCUGGAUCGUAGGUUCGAAUCUUACCUGGAAUG